RNAcentral lists this ribosomal RNA (486 nucleotides) under uncultured bacterium. RNAcentral's name for it is "partial 16S ribosomal RNA". It matches the Rfam family "Bacterial small subunit ribosomal RNA", at positions 28 to 523 of the family's 1533-position model. The record is from RNAcentral.
GAUGAACGCUGGCGGCGUGCUUAACACAUGCAAGUCGAACGGUGAACGAGGGAGCUUGCUCCCUCCGGAUCAGUGGCGAACGGGUGAGUAACUCGUGAGCAAUCUGCCCUGGACUCUGGGAUAAGCGUUGGAAACGACGUCUAAUACCGGAUACGAGGCGUGGGGGCAUCCCCAACGCCUGGAAAGAACUUCGGUCCAGGAUGAGCUCGCGGCCUAUCAGCUAGUUGGUGAGGUAACGGCUCACCAAGGCGACGACGGGUAGCCGGCCUGAGAGGGUGACCGGCCACACUGGGACUGAGACACGGCCCAGACUCCUACGGGAGGCAGCAGUGGGGAAUAUUGCACAAUGGGCGCAAGCCUGAUGCAGCAACGCCGCGUGAGGGACGACGGCCUUCGGGUUGUAAACCUCUUUUAGCAGGGAAGAAGCGAAAGUGACGGUACCUGCAGAAAAAGCACCGGCUAACUACGUGCCAGCCGCCGCGGUAA